RNAcentral lists this ribosomal RNA (377 nucleotides) under uncultured bacterium. RNAcentral's name for it is "bacterial SSU rRNA". It matches the Rfam family "Bacterial small subunit ribosomal RNA", at positions 523 to 898 of the family's 1533-position model. The record is from RNAcentral.
AGACAUAGGGGGCUAGCGUUGUCCGGAAUUACUGGGCGUAAAGGGCGCGUAGGCGGGAUCUUAAGUCAGGUGUGAAAGACCGCAGCUUAACUGCGGGGUUGCACAUGAAACUGAGAUUCUUGAGGGCAGGAGAGGAAAGCAGAAUUCCUGGUGUAGCGGUGAAAUGCGUAGAAAUCAGGAGGAAUACCGGUGGCGAAGGCGGCUUUCUGGACUGACCCUGACGCUGAGGUGCGAAAGCGUGGGUAGCAAACAGGAUUAGAUACCCUGGUAGUCCACGCCGUAAACAAUGGAUACUAGGUGUAGGAGGUAUCGACCCCUUCUGUGCCGCAGCAAACGCAAUAAGUAUCCCGCCUGGGGAGUACGGUCGCAAGGCUGAA